Molecule: ribosomal RNA, 267 nt
Filed under: uncultured bacterium
Lineage: Bacteria
Description: partial 16S ribosomal RNA
Rfam family: Bacterial small subunit ribosomal RNA
Source: RNAcentral
AAAGGCUUAGUGGCGGACGGGUGAGUAACGCGUGGGUAACCUGGCCCAUACAGGGGGAUAACACUUAGAAAUAGGUGCUAAUACUGCAUAACAACAGAAAGCGCAUGCUUUUUGUUUGAAAACCAAGGUGGUAUGGGAUGGACCCGCGUCUGAUUAGCUGGUUGGCGGGGUAAAGGCCCACCAAGGCGACGAUCAGUAGCCGGCCUGAGAGGGUGGACGGCCACAUUGGGACUGAGACACGGCCCAAACUCCUACGGAAGGCAGCAG